AAGAGCGACCAGCAAAUAUCCCAACCCAGCGGUACGGUGCCGUGGGAAGCCUCGCCGUUCACGGCGAGGAGGAGGUCACCCCUGAUCGAUUC
RNAcentral lists this unclassified non-coding RNA (92 nucleotides) under Natronobacterium gregoryi. RNAcentral describes it as "HgcC family RNA". The record is from RNAcentral. Lineage: Archaea; Methanobacteriati; Methanobacteriota; Halobacteria; Halobacteriales; Natrialbaceae.